AUGCUGGGGCAGGGCCGGGCCCUGCCACCAGCUGAAAAGAGUCUGUCAGAAGCCGCCAGCGGAGAAGGAGAAGCGACAGAAGGAGGAGCUGCUCCCGCCAGAUGCCGCCGCUCCCCUCUGCCGCAUUCACCCGCCAGCCGGCCACCCCGGUACUGCAGUGCCGUGCCGUGCCGCGCCGCCCCUUCCCCGGCCCUUUAUGGCCGCCACGGCCCCCGGGCGGAGGAGCCCACUCGCCGCGCCCCUAGCACCGCCGGGGCGGCCAGCUGCCGCCUGGGCGGCAGCAUCGCGGCCCGGGGCGGCUCCGUAGCAGGUGGGGCCGGGGGCAGGCGGAAGAAGGGUGCUGAGGAGGAGGGCGGUGGGCGCGGAGUGCAGCCUCCUGCCGGACGAAGCGCUCAGCCACAGGGACGACCCCCACCUCCCUGCCCCACAGGUCCGGCCGUGCCGGGGGGGGAGGGGAGAAAGGGGGGGCUGCCCUGCCCCGCUCCGCCCAGCCCAGCCCAGUGCUGGCGCAGGGGGCGAGCGGUGCAGGGGGCCGUUAACGGUCGCCCUGACAGGGCGGGGCGAGGUGCGCGCCCUCUCCGUACCUCUCUGAGGAGACUCCCGCUCGGGGUGGCGGGGGUUGUUUCUCUCAGGAGGCGGCAGCCGUUUCGGGCACUGUCCGGCCCCGCUCGUCCUGCGGCUGCACGUGCGGCGACGGGAGUGGCGAGGGGCAGGAGCAGGGCCUCCCCCGCGGGGCCGUGGCCUCAGCGGACGCCAGAGGAUCCGAGGGAAAUCUUCCUUCCCUGCGCCGCACCGGCCCCUUCCCCUUCAGAGGCUUCAAGACAGAAGUCGCGCUGUCACAUGUCUCCUCGCCGGCGUGGGAGGGAGUUACCCGGGGCGCACCGCCCCGGCCCGGCCCCGGCCCACCUCAGCCCGCCCGAGCUUGCCUCAGCUGCGGGGUAGCCGGCGCGGGGUGCCUCGUGAGUGUCGCCUUAGCAAGCGCUGAUUUCAAAACUCCUCUGCAAAAAGCGCUUUAAUGUAGAAAACUUUGGUUCGAGACCAGAACGUCGUGAGGCUGGUGCAAAGAUGACACCCGAUAAUAACUCUGAAUGUCUUCAUCAGCUGCUGCCAGGCUACACCCAGACAAGCCAUCUGCCACCCAGGAAACUACAUACUAGCAACCACUACACGUACUGAAGCCCUGCUUCCUAGGAAGUGGCUGGACAUUGCCUGCUGAUGGGAAGAAGAGAAUAAAUCUUUUGGUUUUCCUUUGCUUCCACAUGCAGCCUUUGCUUUUGCUUUAUUAAACUGCCUUUAUCUUGA
Molecule: RNA transcript, 1302 nt
Organism: Grus americana (Whooping crane)
Lineage: Eukaryota; Metazoa; Chordata; Aves; Gruiformes; Gruidae
Exons: 3
Source: RefSeq, a predicted model, not a curated record